GUUGGAACAGGUAUAAUCCAAGACAACCGUGCAAGAAGCAGGUGUCACCCCAAAGAAGAGAGUACCUGAGUACAAGAAACAGUUUAGCAAUAAGGAAUCCACUCGAAAGGUAAGUUUCCACGGAAUUCUCUUUUAUCUUUUACUAAAACAAGAAAAAAAAAUCAGUUAGUAUCCUCGAACUUUUUCCUUUAGUCAGCAUUAGGGUUUUAAACCCUAAACUGAACUUUUCCUUUAGUCAGCAUUAGGGUUUUAAACCCUAAACUGAACGUUUCCUUUAGUUAGCAUUAGGGUUUUAAACCCUAAACUGAACUUUUCCUUUAGUCAGCAUUAGGGUUUUAAACCCUAAACUGAACUUUUCCUUUAGUCAGCAUUAGGGUUUUAAACCCUAAACUGAACUUUUCCUUUAGUCAGCAUUAGGGUUUUAAAACCUAAACUGAACUUUUCCUUUAGUCAGUAUUAGGGUUUUAAACCCUAAACUGAACUCUUUCCAUUCAGUCAGCAUUAGGGUUUUAAACCCUAAACUGAACUUUUUCAGCAUUAGGGCUUCAACCCUAAAACUGAACUUUUGUCCAUUCAGUCAGCAUUAGGGCCCCAACCCUAAACUAAACUUUUCCCCAGUUAGUCAGCAUUAGGGUUUCAACUCUAAACUGAACUUCUCCCCAGCUAGUCAGCGUUAGGGCUCCAGCCUUGAACUGAACUAUUUCCAUUCCGCCAGCAUUAGGACUCUAACCCUUAACUGAGCAUUUGUCUGUCAGCCAGCAUUAGGGCUCCAACCCUGAACUGAGCAUUUUUACCUUAGGGCAAUAUUAGGGAUCCAAUUCCGGAGUUGCAUUUU
RNAcentral lists this long non-coding RNA (835 nucleotides) under Nicotiana tabacum (common tobacco). RNAcentral describes it as "long non-coding RNA (NTAB_LNC012994)". Lineage: Eukaryota; Viridiplantae; Streptophyta; Magnoliopsida; Solanales; Solanaceae. The record is from RNAcentral.